This 1384-nucleotide long non-coding RNA is filed under the name Homo sapiens (human). RNAcentral describes it as "long independently transcribed non-coding RNA 3183 (LINC03183)". Lineage: Eukaryota; Metazoa; Chordata; Mammalia; Primates; Hominidae. The record is from RNAcentral.
GUUCACCAGAGAGCUGCUCAUAGAAUCAAGUGGGGUUAGGAAUUUCUGGAUAACAUGAUAACUCCUGAGAUUAGUGGCACAGUGAGAUGGGUUUAGCCUUGUCUCACUCCCUAAUCCCAUCCUCUAGCCCCACACUACCCCAGCCAUCCCAUCAUCCCAUGCUUCUCUUCCUACCUAAUUGGGUACAGAAUGAGAAAAACAGUCAGGAACAAGAGAUGGUGACAGUAAAGAGCACCAAGUAAACCUAUUGAAAGAACACCAGUGGCCUCACGUGGAAUAAUUUUAACUCCACUGAUGCCUCCUACAAUCAAGUAAUCAAAUCAGCCAACUCUCUGGAGAAAUAAUGAAAACAAACUGUUCUGUUCUUAUUCUUAAUUUAACAUUUUUCAUCUUAUGAAUUGGAUACAAUUGAAGACUGGUAUCAAGAUGAUGGUUGCCUCAUAAAAUGAGGUAGGGAGAAUGCCCUCUUUUUCCAUUGAUUGGAAUAGUUUCAGAAGGAAUGUUACCAGCUCCUCUUUGUACCUCGGGUAGAAUUCGGCUGUGAAUCCAUCUGGUCCUGGACUUUUUUGGAAGUUGAAUAGCAAACAAUCAUGAUGGGUGAUCAAUAUGGUGAAGAUCCAACUCUCCAAGCAGGACAGAAGAGAAUGUGGAUGAUCUAAACUGGGAUGAGAGCCUGGAAACUACUUUCCUCAGAAUCAUCGUUAGAGUUCAUCAAUGGAGGUAUGAAAUUUGGAAGGCAGAAGAAAUGCAGAAACCACCACUGCACCUGUGACAGAAGUAGGCACUGUUGCUGAGAAGCCCCUAGAUCUGGGGUUGAAAGAUGAGAGAGUCCAUGAAAGUUCGAGAAGAACAAAUUGCUACAUAAUUGGAAGGGAUUAAGUUACAAAUAUUGAUUUGUUAAGGACCUCUGCAGGCUAGUCUGUGAAUUGCCCUGAAAGUCACUGUGAAAAAUUAGCUUGCAGUAUUAAUCCCAUAGAAAGAAACCCAUUUAAGUGGGAAGAAGGGGCCACAUUGAAAAUGGCAUUCAAUGGAUCUUGAAGGAAGAGUAAGAGGUCACCAAGGGAAAAAAAGAUGGGAAAGCUAACUGAAGCAGAGAGAACAUGAGAUGGAGUCUCACUCUGUCGCCCAGACUGGAGUGCAGUGGUGUGAUCUCAGCUCAACCUCCGCCUCCCAGGUUCAAGGGAUUCUCCUGCCUCAUCUUCCUGAGUAGCUGGGACUACAGGUCUUCUGCUACAUGCCCUGAAGCAGCACCUAUUAAGGUUUGAUUAGAAAAAGGGUGGCCUUGGGUGCCUGGGAGCUUCUGCAGGAGUGGUAACUCUGGCCGGCUGAAUGGCUUGCUCUAGAUAUGUAACUGCAUAUAAUAAAACGUAAUUAAUUUUUAAAA